GAUGAGCGAUCAUAAGAGUAGCUGGGUAUAUCCUAAUUCCGAAAAAUUUGGGGAAAAAAAAUUAUAUAUUUUUUUUCUUUUGAGUCUUUAUUUAAUAUAUAAAUUUUAUAUAAAUUUAAUAUUUCGCCGAUCGCCUAUGGGGGUUGACCGAAUUUUUAAAAUGAAUUUAUAUAUAAGUGGAUAAAAUAUAUUACUUAUCUCUAUAUGUAUUUAAUCAUUAUCUUUUUAUUUAAAGUACAUUUUAAUUUUAAAGCAAGUAAAAUUUUAACUAUUUCGGGGAUAGGGGUAAUAAAUAAAUUUCACAUUUUCUAAUCUUCUGGGUAACUCGUUCAA
Molecule: ribosomal RNA, 333 nt
Filed under: Geniculifera effusa
Lineage: Eukaryota; Fungi; Ascomycota
Description: partial large subunit ribosomal RNA
Source: RNAcentral